RNAcentral lists this ribosomal RNA (292 nucleotides) under uncultured bacterium. RNAcentral's name for it is "partial 16S ribosomal RNA". It matches the Rfam family "Bacterial small subunit ribosomal RNA", at positions 505 to 796 of the family's 1533-position model. The record is from RNAcentral.
GUGUCAGCCGCCGCGGUAAUACGUAGGGGGCAAGCGUUGUCCGGAUUUACUGGGUGUAAAGGGUGCUCAGGUGGUUUUGUAAGUCAGAGGUGAAAUUUCGGGGCUCAACCCCGGACCUGCCUUUGAUACUGCAAAGCUUGUGUACGGAAGAGGCUGAUGGAAUUUCUGGUGUAGCAGUGAAAUGCGUAGAGAUCAUGAGGAAGACCAGUGGCGAAGGCGGGUCUCUGGACAGUUCCUGACACUGAGGCACGAAGGCCAGGGGAGCAAACGGGAUUAGAUACCCCUGUAGUCC